AUAUCAAUAAGCGGAGGAAGAGAAACCAACAGGGAUUGCCUCAGUAACGGCGAGUGAAGCGGCAACAGCUCAAAUUUGAAAUCUGGUCCCUCUCGGGGCCCGAGUUGUAAUUUGUAGAGGAAGUUUCGGGCAAGGCCUCGGUCUAAUUCGCUUGGAACAGCGGGUCAGAGAGGGUGAGAAUCCCGUCUGGGAUCGUGCGCCGCGUCCAUGUGAAGCUCCUUCGACGAGUCGAGUUGUUUGGGAAUGCAGCUCUAAAUGGGUGGUAAAUUUCAUCUAAAGCUAAAUAUUGGCCAGAGACCGAUAGCGCACAAGUAGAGUGAUCGAAAGAUGAAAAGCACUUUGAAAAGAGAGUUAAACAGUAUGUGAAAUUGUUGAAAGGGAAGCGCUUGCAACCAGACUUGCGCAUGGCGGUUCCCCCGGCCUUCCUGGCCGGGCCACNCCGUUAUGUCCAGGCCAGCAUCGGUUUGGGUGGUCGGUGAAAGACCCCGGGAAUGUAUCUACCUUCGGGUCGACUUAUAGCCUGGGGUGCAAUACGGCCCACCCGGACCGAGGAACGCGCUCCGGCUCGGAUGCUGGCGUAAUGGUUGUAAGCGGCCCGUCUUGAAACACGGACCAAGGAGUCUAACAUCUAUGCGAGUGUUUGGGUGUCAAACCCCGACGCGUAAUGAAAGUGAACGGAGGUAAGAACCCCGUCAAGGGGCGCAUUAUCGACCGAUCCUGAUGUUCUCGGAUGGAUUUGAGUAAGAGCAUAGCUGUUGGGACCCGAAAGGUACGUCCCUCUUUUCUUUUCCCCCUCCCCUAUUAAUUUUCCAUAGAUGUGUACAUGCUGACUCGAAUUGUCUUUAGAUGGUGAACUAUGCCUGAAUAGGGUGAAGCCAGAGGAAACUCUGGUGGAGGCUCGCAGCGGUUCUGACGUGCAAAUCGAUCGUCAAAUUUGGGCAUAGGGGCGAAAGACUAAUCGAACCAUGGCGAACGACGGCGACGGCGGCGCCACCGGGUGGUUCUUCAACAGUCCUUCGGGGCUACAUCGUCCUUCUGGCGGGGAUCAACACCCGCAGCAGCUCCGGCUGUCCACAGACUAGGUGACGGUGGUCGUCUCCCCCGGGGAGAUGAUGAUGGUAUAGUCGGUCGUGGUCCUCUCGGGGCCACGGUUCAACGCUGGUAGCUGGUUCCUGUCGAAGUUUCCCUCAGGAUAGCAGUAACGUUUUCAGUUUUAUGAGGUAAAGCGAAUGAUUAGAGGCCUUGGGGUUGAAACAACCUUAACCUAUUCUCAAACUUUAAAUAUGUAAGAAGUCCUUGUUACUUGAUUGAACGUGGACAUUUGAAUGUAUCGUUACUAGUGGGCCAUUUUUGGUAAGCAGAACUGGCGAUGCGGGAUGAACCGAACGUGAGGUUAAGGUACCGGAAUGUACGCUCAUCAGACACCACAAAAGGUGUCAAUGCAUCCAGACAGCCGGACGGUGGCCAUGGAAGUCGGAAUCCGCUUAGGAGUGUGUAACAACUCACCGGCCGAAUGCAUUGGCCCUGAAAAUGGAUGGCGCUUAAGCGUGCUACCUAUACCUCGCCGUUGGGGUUGAAAUGAGGCCCCAACGAGUAGGCAGGCGUGGGGGUUUGUGACGAAGCCUCGGGGGUGACCCUGGGUCGAACAACCUCUAGUG
This 1658-nucleotide ribosomal RNA is filed under the name Verruculopsis poeltiana. Its description in RNAcentral is "eukaryotic LSU rRNA". It matches the Rfam family "Eukaryotic large subunit ribosomal RNA", at positions 40 to 1444 of the family's 3401-position model. Lineage: Eukaryota; Fungi; Ascomycota; Eurotiomycetes; Verrucariales; Verrucariaceae. The record is from RNAcentral.